GACGAACGCUGGCGGCGUGCCUAACACAUGCAAGUCGAACGGAACUGUUUUGAAUGAUUUCUUCGGAAUGAUUUCGAUCUGGUUUAGUGGCGGUCGGGAGCGUAACGCGUGAGUAACGUGCCUUCAAGAGGGGAAUAGCAUUUAGAAAAGAAUGCUAAUACCUCAUGACAUUUCGGAACAAAAUGGUUUUGAUAUCAAAGAUUUUAUCGCUUGAAGUUGGGUUCGCGUCCGAUUAGUUAGUUGGUGAGGUAAGGGCACACCAAGACCGCAAUCGGUAGCCGGACAGAGAGGCAGAGCGGCGACAUCGGGGCGAGGACACGGCACAGACUCCUACGGGAUGGAGCGGAGGGUGAUAGUGCGAAAUGGGGUGAAUGCAGACGCUUCAACGCUGCUUGAAGGAUGAUGUUUUAGGAAAAGGAGUCUGCGUUUAUAAAGGACAAAAAAUGACGGUACUUAAUGAAAAAGCGCCGGCUAACUACGUG
This 482-nucleotide ribosomal RNA is filed under the name uncultured bacterium. Its description in RNAcentral is "partial 16S ribosomal RNA". It matches the Rfam family "Bacterial small subunit ribosomal RNA", at positions 28 to 507 of the family's 1533-position model. The record is from RNAcentral.